Small nucleolar RNA from Aplysia californica (California sea hare), 77 nucleotides. RefSeq annotates it as small nucleolar RNA SNORD61. NCBI's taxonomy places the organism in Eukaryota, Metazoa, Mollusca, Gastropoda, Aplysiida, Aplysiidae. The record is from RefSeq and is a predicted model, not a curated record. The transcript has a single exon.
CCAGUGAUGAAGUUUUUCUUUCAGAGUUGUGAAAAUGACGAUAUAAAAAAAUAUUCCUCUAAGAAGUUCUGAAGGGA